GAUGUGUCUAGAUCAGUGGUAGAGCAUCUGCUUUGCAUGCAGAAGUUUCCAGGGUUCAAUCUCCAGUGGCAUCU
Non-coding RNA from Podarcis lilfordi (Lilford's wall lizard), 74 nucleotides. NCBI's taxonomy places the organism in Eukaryota, Metazoa, Chordata, Lepidosauria, Squamata, Lacertidae. The record is from the annotation of a GenBank genome assembly.